Molecule: long non-coding RNA, 198 nt
Organism: Hypomesus transpacificus
Lineage: Eukaryota; Metazoa; Chordata; Actinopteri; Osmeriformes; Osmeridae
Exons: 3
Source: RefSeq, a predicted model, not a curated record
UGUCUGUGGUCCACCAUGAUCUGUCCAGUGUGGUCAUCCUGGACAACUCGCCUGGGGCCUACCGCAGCCAUCCAGACAAUGCAAUACCCAUCAAGUCAUGGUUCAGUGAUCCCAGUGACACAGCCCUGCUAAACCUGCUACCCAUGCUAGAUGCUCUGAGAUUCACUUCAGAUGUCCGGUCCGUUCUAAGUCGAAACC